GAUGAACGCUAGCUACAGGCUUAACACAUGCAAGUCGAGGGGACACGAUGAGAGAGCUUGCUCUCUUAGGCGUAGACCGGCGCACGGGUGAGUAACGCGUAUCCAACCUACCCUUCACAGGGGGAUAACCUUGCGAAAGUAAGACUAAUACCCCAUGGCCUGUUCUGGUGGCAUCAUUAUAGGGUUAAGGUUUUAUUUGUAAGGGAUGGGGAUGCGUCUGAUUAGCUUGUUGGCGGGGUAACGGCCCACCAAGGCAACGAUCAGUAGGGGUUCUGAGAGGAAGGUGCCCCACAUUGGAACUGCGACACGGUCCAAAAUCCUACGGGAGGCAGCAGUAGGGGAUAAUAGUCAAUGGGGGGGGGCUGGAACCAGCCGAGUAGCGGGCAGGAUGACGGAGCUAUGGGUUGUAAGCUGCUUUUAGAGGGGUAGUAAGGGAGCGACGUGUAGUGUAUUGCAGGUACCCGAUGAAUAAGGACCGGCUAAUUCCGUG
Molecule: ribosomal RNA, 490 nt
Filed under: uncultured bacterium
Lineage: Bacteria
Description: partial 16S ribosomal RNA
Rfam family: Bacterial small subunit ribosomal RNA
Source: RNAcentral